This is a long non-coding RNA of Onychostoma macrolepis, 837 nucleotides long. RefSeq lists it as uncharacterized. NCBI's taxonomy places the organism in Eukaryota, Metazoa, Chordata, Actinopteri, Cypriniformes, Cyprinidae. The record is from RefSeq and is a predicted model, not a curated record. The transcript has 5 exons.
UCCCAAGUUCCAUCGAGAUCCCAUUCCCCACGACAUCAAACUACCGCGAGAUGCAGCCCUGCCUCGAUCUGCAUGCAGUGUGGAUCCCGCGAGAUUUCAUUCAGCAAUUCCCAUCCCCCACGCAGCACGCGCUGCAUCGCGCCGACGCCAUUAACGUUACUACGGCUUAUAGCAGAGAAGCUAACGUUAGUGUAAAUAAGAAAGUAAAGGACGGUUUUGGAUGUUGAUGCAGUGGAGCAGAAAUUGGCAGACCCCAGAAACAAGUGGUUCCUGUAGUGGCAGUUCUGUGGAUGAAGCCACGAGAAGAAUGAGGGCCUUCCUUUUGGACCACCCCGCAUCAAGAGAGUUCAAUUUUGUUGGCCGGCAUGGAAAGUGAGAGUUUCAGGGGCUCAGACUGCUUGAGGUUGUAUAAGGAAGCUUGAAAAAAAAUCUCUUAACCAAAUUCCCAGAAAAGAGGCAGAAAAGUCAACGUCAAAGUGGCUAAUCGUGACGGGAGGAAACCGUUCUGCGAAGUCACAUAGUAGAGAGCAAGAUAGGGCCGUUGGGAGAGUGAGGACAGAGGUGUGAGGAGCUGCACGGUUGGUUGGUUUGUUUGUUUGUGAAAUAAUGUAUUUUAGAGUUUUCAGAUAUGCGUAUACAAACGAUACAAGUUAUUCCAAAUAAUGUUUGGCAGGAGCUUCACUUUAACUUUUUUUUUAAGAUGCUUAUGUUUUAUAAAGUUGUAAAUACACAAGAUAUAAUGGUCAUGUUCAAAUUAUUCCAACGAAACCUUGUUUAAAGCAUGCAGAAUACAAGUUAUGAAGAUUUUUUUUUUUUUUUACAAGAAAUAACGUUUUU